GCAGCCGCCGCGGUAAUACAGAGGGUGCGAGCGUUAAUCGGAUUUACUGGGCGUAAAGCGUGCGUAGGCGGCUUCUUAAGUCGGAUGUGAAAUCCCUGAGCUUAACUUAGGAAUUGCAUUCGAUACUGGGAAGCUAGAGUAUGGGAGAGGAUGGUAGAAUUCCAGGUGUAGCGGUGAAAUGCGUAGAGAUCUGGAGGAAUACCGAUGGCGAAGGCAGCCAUCUGGCCUAAUACUGACGCUGAGGUACGAAAGCAUGGGGAGCAAACAGGAUUAGAUACCCCAGUAGUCCCUGUCUCUUAUAA
This 302-nucleotide ribosomal RNA is filed under the name uncultured bacterium. Its description in RNAcentral is "partial 16S ribosomal RNA". It matches the Rfam family "Bacterial small subunit ribosomal RNA", at positions 508 to 809 of the family's 1533-position model. The record is from RNAcentral.